Molecule: ribosomal RNA, 576 nt
Filed under: Rhizanthella gardneri
Lineage: Eukaryota; Viridiplantae; Streptophyta; Magnoliopsida; Asparagales; Orchidaceae
Description: eukaryotic LSU rRNA
Rfam family: Eukaryotic large subunit ribosomal RNA
Source: RNAcentral
UGUCCCCAGAAUGGGUGAGAGGACACAUUGAGCUUAAUCAUAUCAAUAAGCGGAGGAGAAGAUACUUACUAGGAUUCCUUUAGUAAUGGCGGGUGAACCGGGAUCUCCCAGCAUGGGAAUCAGGCUGCAAUGCAGGCCGAAUUGUAGUCUAGGGAAGCGUCCCUAGCGACAGAUUGGGCCCAAGUCUCCUAGAAAGGGGCGCUAGUGUGGGUUAGAGCCCCAUUCAUCCUGAACCCUAUCACAAUAUGGGGUGAUGUGACCGAGUCAGUUUGCUGGGGAUUGCAACCCCAAAUAGGCGAUAAAUUCUGUCCAAGGUUAAAUAUAUAUGAGAGAUCGAUAGGGAACAAGAACCGCGAGCGAAAGAUGAAAAGGCCAUUGAAAAGAGAGUCAAAGAGUGCUUGAAAUUAUCGAGAGGGAAGUAGAAGUGGGCUGGAGUUGCAUCUCGGUCUGAAGUGGGGAGGAUUAAUGCUUCUCCGUUGCCUGGCUCGAGGCAUGGAUCAUUACAGGCCUUACUGGUGGCUAGAUUCCAGGCGAAAGAUGCUCGAGGAGGCACAGUCAGUACCGCCAAUGAAGCAU